UAUUACCUCUGCCUCUGAACUUCAAAACUGUAGCUACUAUCAACCAUGAUGUCUCAGCUGACAGGGUCCAGAGCUGUGAUCUUGUCAACAGAGGCCAGGGUGGAAGAAAUCUUCCUUUAGUGGUUUGUCCUCUUUGGGCAAAUCCUGCAAAAUGGACUUCUUCCUAGCUUGUGGAAGGAGCAUUUUUAAGGGGUUAAAUAUUCUUCAGCUUCCGCUUGACAACUGAAUUUUGAAUUCACGAGCUGUGUCAUUCUCUCCGUAGCCACACAGGAGGGCCGUGCUCUGUGUAAUCUACAAAAACAAAGCCACCAGUUGUGAUCUUGCAAAAAGGACUACGACAAACAAGGAAAUGAGGGAAGGAAGGAAGGAAGGAAGAAAGGAAGGAAGGAAAGAAGAUGAUUUAACACAGUGUUUUCUCAUACUGUGAAUACAAUAUGGUUGCUGUGGGAGUGUAACUGAUGCGCCUCAUUAGACUUUGAGAUUGU
RNAcentral lists this long non-coding RNA (485 nucleotides) under Calidris pugnax (ruff). RNAcentral's name for it is "lncRNA (ENSCPUG00000011693.1)". The record is from RNAcentral. Lineage: Eukaryota; Metazoa; Chordata; Aves; Charadriiformes; Scolopacidae.